RNAcentral lists this unclassified non-coding RNA (188 nucleotides) under rhizosphere metagenome. RNAcentral describes it as "partial ribosomal RNA internal transcribed spacer region". The record is from RNAcentral.
GAGACGUUGCCCUUCGGGGUAUACCUCCCACCCUUUGUUUACCGUACCUUUGUUGCUUUGGCAGGCCCGUCUUCGGACCGCCGGCUUCGGCUGGUCUGCGCCUGCCAGAGGACCCAAAACUCUGUCUGUCUGUGUCGUCUGAGUACUAUAUAAUAGUUAAAACUUUCAACAACGGAUCUCUUGGUUCU